AAUCACUUGUCUUUUAAAUGAAGACCUGUAUGAAUGGCAUCACGAGGGCUUAACUGUCUCCCCUCUCCAGUCAAUGAAAUUGACCUCCCCGUGCAGAGGCGGGGAUAUUUAUAUAAGACGAGAAGACCCUGUGGAGCUUUAGACCUAAAGUAAACCACGUUUAAUGUACUAGAAUUAAUAGCAAAAACUUAGUGGACAUUUAUUUAAGUGUCUUUGGUUGGGGCGACCGCGGAGUAAAACAUAACCUCCAUGUGGAUGGGGAUACUUUCCCUAAAACUCAGAGCCUCCACUCCAAGCAACAGAAAUUCUGACCUUACUGAUCCGGUACAACCGAUUAACGAACCCAGUUACCCCAGGGAUAACAGCGCAAUCCCCUCUCAGAGCUCAUAUCGACGAGGGGGUUUACGACCUCGAUGUUGGAUCAGGACAUCCUAGUGGUGCAGCCGCUA
This 449-nucleotide ribosomal RNA is filed under the name Merluccius productus (North Pacific hake). RNAcentral describes it as "partial 16S ribosomal RNA". It matches the Rfam family "Bacterial large subunit ribosomal RNA", at positions 1963 to 2564 of the family's 2925-position model. Lineage: Eukaryota; Metazoa; Chordata; Actinopteri; Gadiformes; Merlucciidae. The record is from RNAcentral.